GGCCCGCUGCGGCAGGGUGCGCCGCACCCGCAUCGCGCGCGGGCCGCCGAGCGGCACGUCACGGGCCCCGAGGAUCUCGACCUCGGCCGGACG
Molecule: transfer RNA, 93 nt
Filed under: Streptomyces albogriseolus
Lineage: Bacteria; Bacillati; Actinomycetota; Actinomycetes; Kitasatosporales; Streptomycetaceae
Description: tRNA-Ala
Source: RNAcentral